This 439-nucleotide ribosomal RNA is filed under the name Mrakia aquatica. RNAcentral describes it as "partial large subunit ribosomal RNA". It matches the Rfam family "Eukaryotic large subunit ribosomal RNA", at positions 129 to 573 of the family's 3401-position model. The record is from RNAcentral. Lineage: Eukaryota; Fungi; Basidiomycota; Tremellomycetes; Cystofilobasidiales; Mrakiaceae.
UCAGGUUGUACGAGUUGUAGUCUAGAGAAUCGUUUUCCGCGUUGGCCUGUGUACAAGUCCCUUGGAACAGGGCGUCAUAGAGGGUGAGAAUCCCGUCCUUGACACAGACUACCAAUGCUUUGUGAUGCGAUCUCGAAGAGUCGAGUUGUUUGGGAAUGCAGCUCAAAAUGGGUGGUAAAUUCCAUCUAAAGCUAAAUAUUGGCGAGAGACCGAUAGCGAACAAGUACCGUGAGGGAAAGAUGAAAAGCACUUUGGAAAGAGAGUUAAACAGUACGUGAAAUUGUUAAAAGGGAAACGAUUGAAGUCAGUCAUGCUCUCCGAGACUCAGCCGAUUCUGUCGGUGUACUUCUCGGUUGGCAGGCCAGCAUCAGUUUUGAUCUGUGGAAAAGGUUGGAGAGAAUGUGGCAUCCUCGGAUGUGUUAUAGCUCUCCUUCGAAUA